AGGAUCACGAAGUGGCCGGUGUUCCAGCCUGUCCGAGGCCACCAACCAACUCCAUCCUCUUGAGUGAAUACCUCUCAAAAGCUGGAGCCAUUCUCUCCACCACGUGUUCCCUGGCAUCGUGGACUAUACCCUCAAAGCUGUGAGCCCAAGCAAACCCUUCCUUCCUUGAGUGUCUGCAUCAGGUUUCUCAUAGCAAUGAGCGAAGGCCCAGAAAGGAAGGUGUUGUGUAGAAAAGGAAAACAUCAUCUCUACUUUUCUCUCUCAAGAACUCAGCCUUCAACCCUGUGACUUCUGCUAUGGAAUAUCAGAAACAGUGACACCAGCAACACAUCAUCACAGAUUUCUUCAUCCCUGUAAUGGCUCGUGUUUAGUUGUCAACUUGACAGAAUCUAGAAUCAUUUGGAAGAUGGACUUUUGGGCAUACCUGUGUGAGAUUGCCUUGAUUACAUUGAUGUGGGAAACACUUCUUAAAUGUGGCCUGGGCCAUCCUGGGCAGGACAUCUUGGACUGUACAGAGAGUGAGCUGAGCAUGCAUUGCUCUCUGCUUAACUGUGGAUGCGCCAUGAUCAACCCUCUCAAACUCCUCUUGCCUUGGCAUCUCGAUCACAGCUGUCCUUUUACUGCAAGAUUAAAAAACCCUUUCUCCCUUAUGCUGUUUUUAUCAGAGCAACAGAAGAGAAACUCAGACAAAUACCUUUUGUAUCCAGGAGAGGCAAGACCUUUUUUAGUCUGUGUAGUGUUUACCUGGGCCCAGUCCUGAGCAGGGCAUGACGGAUAAAAAGCUAAGCCAUGACUCUGGUCUGGGACAAAUGAGAAGUUUUGUGGAGAAUGACCAAUGUAGAAUAACUGACUAUAGUGUUCUGCUUCAGUCAGGUGGACACAUGCGCACACUCCAUAUUCCUGUGUGACAUGAGGAGAGACACUUUAUGUCCAGAGUGCUGUCUCCACAUCUAACAGGGGGGAGGGAUCAUAACAGAUGAUCCUAUUUCAAAGGUUGCUGUGAGGACUAACUAGCACCUGGAUUAUCACAGUGCACAGCAGGCAGUAAGUGGUAAUUUUUUUAUCACUAUCAUUAAAUAUAAACAGAAGUUUCUUGAUGUGGGAGGACAGG
This is a non-coding RNA of Peromyscus maniculatus bairdii (prairie deer mouse), 1111 nucleotides long. NCBI's taxonomy places the organism in Eukaryota, Metazoa, Chordata, Mammalia, Rodentia, Cricetidae. The record is from RefSeq and is a predicted model, not a curated record.